RNAcentral lists this long non-coding RNA (736 nucleotides) under Drosophila guanche. Lineage: Eukaryota; Metazoa; Arthropoda; Insecta; Diptera; Drosophilidae. The record is from RNAcentral.
GUGAAUAUAAAUAUCAGUGAAUUUAAAUUUCACCUGGCCUAGAGCCAUCCCAACGUUUUUGGGCGAGCGUGCAAUCCACGCAACCCCAAACUUUUUGGACUGGCGUUCAAUCCACGCCAUCCACGACAGAAGAGAAAUAUAAUUAUCCACGGAAAUCCCGGAAAGAUUGGGCUUCGCUACGCUUUCCCCCCACACUCAGCCAGAGCAGCAGCGCAUUGACGUUUUGUUGGCAAUACGCUGAGGGGUGGGGAAUUUUUCUUGGGAGACCGGUGGAAGCCCGGCUCCAGAACCUAUGUAACACCAUAGCCAUGAUGUAACUUCACAAUGACCAUGACGUAACCUUGCAGUAACCUCUGCGCAGGCGCCACAGCCGACAGUGUCGUACCGCUAAGAGGGCCACCAUUAUAUCUUAGGCUGCAAUCAAAGCCUAAAGCACUGUCUUUUAUUUUAAUAAUUAAUUAAAUUUAAAUUUUGUUAAUGCUAAUACUCUUUUCUAUUAUUAUGUUCUAUUUGAUUUAACGACCUUUAAUUCCCCCUUAAUUAUGUGACAUUAGUGAAAGAAGAAAGAAAGGAAAAAUAAGUUUGUAAGAGAAAAAAAAAAUAUUGAACUAUAACGUGCAGUCGGCCAAAGCCAACAGGGAACCAUAAUUAAUAUAUUCCACAGCUUCUUCAAAACCCCAGCGAAAGGCCUUUCAGCGAGGGAGUACUGUAAGCAUACAUACAUGCAUACCAAACU